GGACGCAACUCUGGAGAGCACGUAGUCUUAACUGCGUCACCAAAGGGGAAGGCUCAAGGAACGAGUUGAGCUAAACUCUCAGGUAAAAGGACAGAGAAGGGGAG
This 104-nucleotide non-coding RNA is filed under the name Bacillus sp. (in: firmicutes). RNAcentral's name for it is "Bacillus sp. Glycine sequence". It matches the Rfam family "Glycine riboswitch aptamer". From Rfam's summary of the family: This family represents the bacterial glycine riboswitch. The record is from RNAcentral. Lineage: Bacteria; Bacillati; Bacillota; Bacilli; Caryophanales; Bacillaceae.